GUAGUCCACGCUGUAAACGAUGAGUGCUAGGUGUCGGGGCGAGAGUCUCGGUGCCGUAGUUAACACAAUAAGCACUCCACCUGGGGAGUACGUACGCAAGUAUGAAACUCAAAGGAAUUGACGGGGGCCCGCACAAGCGGUGGAGCAUGUGGUUUAAUUCGACGCAACGCGAAGAACCUUACCAAGUCUUGACAUCUCUCUGACCGGCAUAGAAAUAUGCCUUCCCUUCGGGGCAGAGAUGACAGGUGGUGCAUGGUUGUCGUCAGCUCGUGUCGUGAGAUGUUUGGUUAAGUCCAGCAACGAGCGCAACCCUUAUCUUUAGUAGCCAGCAGGUUAAGCUGGGCACUCUAGAGAGACUGCCGUGGAUAACACGGA
RNAcentral lists this ribosomal RNA (375 nucleotides) under uncultured bacterium. RNAcentral describes it as "bacterial SSU rRNA". It matches the Rfam family "Bacterial small subunit ribosomal RNA", at positions 790 to 1167 of the family's 1533-position model. The record is from RNAcentral.